This 72-nucleotide transfer RNA is filed under the name Toxocara canis (dog roundworm). It matches the Rfam family "tRNA". Rfam says of the family: Transfer RNA (tRNA) molecules are approximately 80 nucleotides in length. Their secondary structure includes four short double-helical elements and three loops (D, anti-codon, and T loops). Further hydrogen bonds mediate the characteristic L-shaped molecular structure. tRNAs have two regions of fundamental functional importance: the anti-codon, which is responsible for specific mRNA codon recognition, and the 3' end, to which the tRNAs corresponding amino acid is attached (by aminoacyl-tRNA synthetases). tRNAs cope with the degeneracy of the genetic code in two manners: having more than one tRNA (with a specific anti-codon) for a particular amino acid; and 'wobble' base-pairing, i.e. permitting non-standard base-pairing at the 3rd anti-codon position. Lineage: Eukaryota; Metazoa; Nematoda; Chromadorea; Rhabditida; Toxocaridae. The record is from Rfam by way of RNAcentral.
CGGGCAGUAGCUCAGUGGUACAGCCUCCGCUUUAUAUGGGGAAAGAUCUGGUUUCGAUUCCCGGCUGCUUCA